This 572-nucleotide ribosomal RNA is filed under the name uncultured Staphylococcus sp. RNAcentral describes it as "bacterial SSU rRNA". It matches the Rfam family "Bacterial small subunit ribosomal RNA", at positions 28 to 570 of the family's 1533-position model. The record is from RNAcentral. Lineage: Bacteria; Bacillati; Bacillota; Bacilli; Caryophanales; Staphylococcaceae.
GAUGAACGCUCGGCGGACGUGUGCCUAAUACAUGCAAGUCGAGCGACACGGACGACGAAGCUUGCUUCUCUGAUGUUAGCGGCGGACGGGUGAGUAACACGUGGAUAACCUACCUAUAAGACUGGGAUAACUUCGGGAAACCGGACGCUAAUACCGGAUAAUAUUUUGAACCGAUGGUUCAAAAGUAAAAGACGGUCUUGCUGUCACUUAUAGAUGGAUCCGCGCUGCAUUAGCUCAGUUGGUAAGUGUAACCGGCUUACCAAGGCAACGAUGCAUAGCCGACCUGAGCAGUGGUGAUCGGCACACUGGAACUGAGACACGGUCCAGACUCCUACGGGAGGCAGCAGUAGGGAAUCUUCCGCAAUGGGCGAAAGCCUGAGGAGCAACGCCGCGUGAGUGAUGAAGGUCUUCGGAUCGUAAAACUCUGUUAUCAGGGAAGACCCAUAUGUGUCAGUAACUGUGCACAUCUUGACGGUACCUAAUCAGAAAGCCACGGUAACUACGUGCCAGACAGCCGCGGUAAUACGUAGGUGGCAAGACGUCAUCCGGAAUAUCUUGGGCGUAACGCGCGC